RNAcentral lists this ribosomal RNA (402 nucleotides) under Actinomycetes bacterium. Its description in RNAcentral is "Actinobacteria bacterium partial 16S ribosomal RNA". It matches the Rfam family "Bacterial small subunit ribosomal RNA", at positions 355 to 776 of the family's 1533-position model. Lineage: Bacteria; Bacillati; Actinomycetota; Actinomycetes. The record is from RNAcentral.
UGGGGAAUUUUGCACAAUGGGGGCAACCCUGAUGCAGCGACGCCGCGUGAUUUAGAAGGCCUUCGGGUUGUAAAAAUCUUUUGUAUGGGAAGAAAAUGACAGUACCAUACGAAUAAGGACCGGCUAAUUACGUGCCAGCAGCCGCGGUAAUACGUAAGGUCCGAGCGUUGUCCGGAAUCAUUGGGCGUAAAGGGUACGUAGGCGGAUAAGCAAGUUAGAAGUGAAAUCCUAUAGCUCAACUAUAGUAAGCUUUUAAAACUGCUCAUCUUGAGGUAUGGAAGGGAAAGUGGAAUUCCUAGUGUAGCAGUGAAAUGCGCAGAUAUUAGGAGGAAUACCGGUGGCGAAGGCGACUUUCUGGCCAUAAACUGACGCUGAGGUACGAAAGCGUGGGUAGCAAACAGG